Molecule: ribosomal RNA, 449 nt
Filed under: uncultured bacterium
Lineage: Bacteria
Description: bacterial SSU rRNA
Rfam family: Bacterial small subunit ribosomal RNA
Source: RNAcentral
GUGGGGAAUUUUGGACAAUGGGCGAAAGCCUGAUCCAGCAACGCCGCGUGAGUGAUGAAGGCCUUCGGGUUGUAAAGCUCUGUCGGAAGGAAAGAAUAAAGGCCACCUAAUACGUGGCCAUAUGACGGUACCUUUAAAGGAAGCAACGGCUAACUCUGUGCCAGCAGCCGCGGUAAGACAGAGGUUGCAAGCGUUGUUCGGAAUCACUGGGCGUAAAGGGCGUGUAGGCGGUGAAGUAUGUCUGAUGUGAAAGCCCCCGGCUUAACUGGGGAAGUGCAUCGGAAACUGCUUCGCUGGAGUGCGAGAGAGGAUGGCGGAAUUCCCAGAGUAGAGGUGAAAUUCGUAGAUACUGGGAGGAACACCUGAGGCGAAGGCGGCCAUCUGGCUCGCAACUGACGCUGAGACGCGAAAGCAUGGGUAGCAAACAGGAUUAGAUACCCCGGUAGUCC